CGGGGUGCAGCAGGCGCGAAACCUCUGCAAUAGGCGAAAGCCUGACAGGGUUACUCUGAGUGAUUCCCGCUAAGGGGAUCUUUUGGCACCUCUAAAAAUGGUGCAGAAUAAGGGGUGGGCAAGCCUGGUGUCAGCCGCCGCGGUAAUACCAGCACCCCGAGUGGUCGGGACGAUUAUUGGGCCUAAAGCAUCCGUAGCCGGCCACGCAAGUCCUCCGUUAAAUCCACCCGCUCAACGGUUGGGCUGCGGAGGAUACUACGUGGCUAGGAGGCGGGAGAGGCAAGCGGUACUCAAUGGGUAGGGGUAAAAUCCUUUGAUCCAUUGAAGACCACCAGUGGCGAAGGCGGCUUGCCAGAACGCGCUCGACGGUGAGGGAUGAAAGCUGGGGGAGCAAACCGGAUUAGAUACCCGGGUAGUCCCAGCUGUAAACGAUGCAGACUCGGUGAUGGGAUGGCCUCGAGCCAUCCCAGUGCCGCAGGGAAGCCGUUAAGUCUGCCGCCUGGGGAGUACGGUCGCAAGACUGAAACUUAAAGGAACUGGCGGGGGAGCAC
This 551-nucleotide ribosomal RNA is filed under the name uncultured archaeon. Its description in RNAcentral is "bacterial SSU rRNA". It matches the Rfam family "Archaeal small subunit ribosomal RNA", at positions 326 to 879 of the family's 1478-position model. The record is from RNAcentral.